This 137-nucleotide small nucleolar RNA is filed under the name Salvator merianae (Argentine black and white tegu). RNAcentral's name for it is "Small nucleolar RNA SNORA24 (ENSSMRG00000015398.1)". It matches the Rfam family "Small nucleolar RNA SNORA24". From Rfam's summary of the family: ACA24 is a member of the H/ACA class of snoRNA that guide the sites of modification of uridines to pseudouridines. The record is from Rfam by way of RNAcentral. Lineage: Eukaryota; Metazoa; Chordata; Lepidosauria; Squamata; Teiidae.
CGCCAUGCUUCCAUGGGACCUGCCAGUGUGUGGCAGCCUCCCUUCCUACUCAUGGCAGAGCAACAGGCCGCCUUGCCUCUUGGCAUAGCUCCCACCAUUCAAUUGGGGCGAGACUCUGACUUGGGCAAGGAACAGUU